CAGACUCCUACGGGAGGCAGCAGUGGGGAAUAUUGCACAAUGGGGGAAACCCUGAUGCAGCGACGCCGCGUGGAGGAAGAAGGUCUUCGGAUUGUAAACUCCUGUUGUUGAGGAAGAUAAUGACGGUACUCAACAAGGAAAGUGACGGCUAACUACGUGC
Molecule: ribosomal RNA, 160 nt
Filed under: uncultured bacterium
Lineage: Bacteria
Description: partial 16S ribosomal RNA
Rfam family: Bacterial small subunit ribosomal RNA
Source: RNAcentral